Molecule: ribosomal RNA, 506 nt
Filed under: uncultured bacterium
Lineage: Bacteria
Description: partial 16S ribosomal RNA
Rfam family: Bacterial small subunit ribosomal RNA
Source: RNAcentral
GAUGAACGCUAGCUGCAGGCUUAACACAUGCAAGUCGAGGGGUAACGAGAGGAAAGCAUGCUUUCCUUGUCGACGACCGGCGCACGGGUGAGUAACGCGUAUCCAACCUGCCCCCAACUAAGGAAUAACCUUGCGAAAGUAAGACUAAUACCUUAUAAUUUCCUCAGAUGACAUCUGACGAGGAAUAAAGAUUGAUCGGUUGUGGAUGGGGAUGCGUCUGAUUAGCUUGUUGGCGGGGUAACGGCCCACCAAGGCAACGAUCAGUAGGGGUUCGGAGAGGAAGGUCCCCCACAUUGGAACUGAGACACGGUCCAAACUCCUACGGGAGGCAGCAGUGAGGAAUAUUGGUCAAUGGGCGAAAGCCUGAACCAGCCAAGUAGCGUGCAGGAUGACGGCCCUAUGGGUUGUAAACUGCUUUUAUACAGGAAUAAAGUUAGCCACGUGUGGUUAUUUGUAGGUACUGUAUGAAUAAGGACCGGCUAAUUCCGUGCCAGCCGCCGCCGUAA